RNAcentral lists this unclassified non-coding RNA (218 nucleotides) under uncultured fungus. RNAcentral describes it as "sequence contains ITS1". Lineage: Eukaryota; Fungi. The record is from RNAcentral.
UUUAAUGUUUUAAUAUAUGUUCAGACCGAUGGUAUUUGAAAGGUUUUAUGUGUUUGGCGUCCACCAGCACUCCCCAGCCAAUGCAUACGCAUUAGCCAAGGGGUUCUGCUCUCACGAGCUAAACCUGUCUAGUGAAAGCAACAUGGAAGGUAAACAAUGGGUAAUAAAAGCUAAAAAAGCUCUCAAUAAUGAUCCUUCCGCAGGUUCACCUACGGAAA